CAGUAGCCGCGGGAAUACGUAGGUGGCAAGCGUUGUCCGGAAUUAUUGGGCGUAAAGGGCUCGCAGGCGGUUUCUUAAGUCUGAUGUGAAAGCCCCCGGCUCAACCGGGGAGGGUCAUUGGAAACUGGGAAACUUGAGUGCAGAAGAGGAGAGUGGAUCUCCACGUGUAGCGGUGAAAUGCGUAGAGAUGUGGAGGAACACCAGUGGCGAAGGCGACUCUCUGGUCUGUAACUGACGCUGAGGAGCGAAAGCGUGGGGAGCGAACAGGAUUAGAUACCCCCGUAGUCCCUGUCUCUUAUAA
Molecule: ribosomal RNA, 301 nt
Filed under: uncultured bacterium
Lineage: Bacteria
Description: partial 16S ribosomal RNA
Rfam family: Bacterial small subunit ribosomal RNA
Source: RNAcentral